CUAACCACAUCCUAACUAUGAAGUCAACCAUUGUUCAACCUCCACCAGGAGAGUUCAUGAAAGAAGAUUUGUAUCUUCAAAAAAGAUGGAGAAGAGUACAAUAUUUGGCCAACAAGUUUUGGAUCCGUUGGAGGAAAGAAUAUUUACUCAACUUGCAACCAAGACAGAAGUGGAAUGCACACAGAAGAGAUCUGCAGAUAAAUGAUAUAGUGCUUCUACAAGAAGAGCUUGCACCACGUAACGAAUGGAAGCUAGCUAAAGUCACAGCUGUCUAUCCUGGAGCAGAUAAUAAAGUGAGAAAGGUUAGACUCUUAGUUAGCGAGAGGACAUCUAACAAAAAUGAUAAACUAGUGACGAAAACAGUUUCAUUAGAAAGACCUAUACAUAAGGUUAUUGCUUUGCUAGAAGCAGAAUAAUGUUUAUUUUAUUUAUUUUGCUGUUCAGACUCUGUGUCAGUUUGAAUUUGUGUUAUGGAAAUCUCACUGUUAAGAGUGUGAGAUUUGGUGGGAGUGUAACUGCCACAUCUCUAUUUCUACAAGUUUCUGUGUAUUUUAAGUUAAUUUUGUGAAGCGUCACUAGAGGGCGCUGUGGUGUCAGAGUAUACGUGUGUUGUAUAGAGAUAUGUCAAGAAGAAAAACAGCGAUCUCAGGAAGAAAAGGGGAAAGAACGCAGAAAGAAAAGAGCAUGGACAGAAAGGUUUAAGAAAGGAAGCAAAACCAAGAAGAAAAUAGGUUUUUCCUAAUUCCUUACUUGGUACUCAGCCAACGAGUUUUCACGGUGUGUUUUGAAUCUAUACCAAGAUGGCUUCAAUAAAUUCAUCAGUUAAGAAAACCCA
Molecule: long non-coding RNA, 835 nt
Organism: Girardinichthys multiradiatus
Lineage: Eukaryota; Metazoa; Chordata; Actinopteri; Cyprinodontiformes; Goodeidae
Exons: 2
Source: RefSeq, a predicted model, not a curated record